Non-coding RNA from Coturnix japonica (Japanese quail), 16127 nucleotides. The record is from RefSeq and is a predicted model, not a curated record. Lineage: Eukaryota; Metazoa; Chordata; Aves; Galliformes; Phasianidae.
GUCUCUCAAGGUUUUUCAAUUACUUUGAGGUCAAAACUUUGGAUCAUGAAAUGAAAAGCAUUGUAAUGUAUUGCUGCAAAUGUCACUGCUGGGUAAACAUGUGGUCUUUCUGUUGCUACUAACUGACAGCUGGUGUGACAGUAUUUUUCUAUUUAUAUCUCUUAGAAAACUUGCUUCACAAAAUAUGUUUUCUUUUCCAUGAAAAACAUUUCAGGCUUAAUGUGAACACUUGCACGUUUUCUGGCCUCUGUUCUUGGAGCACCUCCUACUUCAGGCUUUGUUUAGAAGCCAGAAAUGUUGUCAGUGCAACUGCUUCAGCUGCUAAUUUUCAAUGACAAAGUCUUCAAUUUUCCUUUUGGAUUCUUUUCAAAUUUACUCAAACUUUUAUGAGUUGGUCUACUAGUCACUACUGAGGAGGUGAUAGAAAAUCAGUGCUUUGUACUUUUCUAGGAGUAGGGAGAUAAGGUGGAGAUAUUCCCAGGUCUAAAACAUCUCAAUGACAGACGUACCCCUGGCUCAGUCUUUCUGGGGUAAAUACCUUCUGCAGAAUCCUGCUUCUGUUUGCUCAAGUUACAUAAACUCGCAGAUAAGUUUGGGUACCUAAUUGCUUUCUGCUUAUGGGAUCAAUGCUAGUUUAAGAAGUAUCCUGUGUCCCACACGAAAGUACUGUUUUGAAUUACUCAUUUGAAACAUUUUCAGGGAACAUUUUAUUUGAUCACUGAAUGUCUAGUCACCAGAAGGUUUAUAAAUCUCUGAGAGGCUCUCAGUCUUUUCAGAGGUAUAAUUGCAGAUGAGUCCAUCUGUUCUCUUUUCAUCUCUGUCUUCCAUGUUUAUCUACCUUUCUGAUGUUUGUUCUGAUAUAUCUGGUGUUUAGGUGUAUGGAAGGCAAAGGAACUUAGCAGCUGCUGAAAAGAUGCUAGUGCUUGAUAUUGUCAGAUCUGAAGAAAACAGUAGAUUUUGAAACCUGACAAAUACAUUGUAAUAAAUAAGUGAAUGACUUCAAAUUCAGAGUUUGUGAACAGAAAAUGAUGACACACUGUAAAUGCAAUUUAAUAUACAGAGCUGAAUUCCUAUGCCAUUUCCUGGAAGGGUAAUGUAUGUAUUUCAAAACAUCUUAAUAUUGUGUAUGAUUCUUCGAUCUCAGCAGUAGUGCUAUGUUUUGUUUUUUUUCACUUGAAAACCAGCAGAAAGAGGAUAGAAUUUUCUUGUUACUUAGGUUUUUCAUAAUAUUUUAUGUGGGAUGUUGGCAGCUGCCUUCCUGAGGUGACAGUUUGUUAGCUAUUAAAUAUGUGCAAUUUGUUUAUCAUUCAUAUUAGUUGUAACUAUUCAUGACGCAGUUUGGAAAUCUUCAAUCCCUGUUACAGGAAGGAUGUUCUGUGAAAAGUAGGACUGAAUUACAAGACUAAAGAUACCUCUUGUAUGACCCAAAACUGUUCUCCUGGUACCUGGAGGACCUUGUUAUUGGGAGUCUGUUUCCACUCUGUGUGGUUCUGCAACUCAGUACGUAUAUAAAAUAUAAAAUCAGAUUAAUUAAAACACUAAUAAGAAACCUUUACAAGGUGUCUGUCUCCUCAAGGAGUGACUGAAAUAGAGUUGCAAACCAAAUUUCACAUGGAUUUUGUUUUUUUUAUGAACAGUUUCCUGUUUCGACACAAUAUUACUGUACCAUACCGCAUGUUCACUAAUUGCUUCUAAUGGCAUGUAACUGCACCAAUAGGUUUUUGUUUGUCUAUUUUUAAUAAUAGGUUGAGUGAUGGUUGUAUUCCCAAACAUAAUUCUCUCCCACUUCUUUAUCAAGGAAUGAUGAUAAAAUGUAUGUGAUGUUUUUAAUUGAUGAUCUUUUUUGUUUUUAGGGUUGGCUUAUUAGCUGAAGACAGUGUUGAUGAGUGUAAUAUGUUAGAGUGAUUUCUUCUUUAUAAAGAUAUUUGACAUACUUUAUAGAGUGUUUGCCCCAUUCAUAGCCUAGCAUUCUCUAACAAUGACUUUAUUAAAUCUGUGCUUGUUAGGAGCCAGAUUGAGGCUUUCACAUGUGUUUUAUGUUGUUGGGACACAAAAUAAGGAAUAUGAAUUAAUUUGACAAGGCCUCCUGUUUUUCUGUCAUGUGGUGGAGUAAAAAUUAAAUAAUAGUCUCUUUCUAAUGGAAUGAGAGAUUAUUAUCAACAUGCAAAGGGGAUAUCUAAAAUAAUAGGACCUGAAUUGCUUCUAUAAUGCAUCACUGAUUACAGUUAAAAUCUAAAUGUUUAUCUUUCUCUCUGAGAAUGUUAAAUGGACUUAGAAAGUGAUCGGAACUAGACUGAAAUGUAGUGGAUAUAUAUUUCUAACAAAAGACUUUUAAGACACACUUACAAAAAAAAGACUUUUUUUUCCAUUAAAAUGAUUCAUUCUACAUUAACAGAUAAUAGAGGUGUCAUUUCAUUGACAUCUUCUACAUUUGUGCAUAAUGAAAAUCUGACUGUGCAGUUUCAACCUCCUGAAAACGGGCCUAAUGGACACCAUUUGAUUAAAUGGGCCUUGAAACUCUGUCAGUUGCAGACCCUUGGAAAUCUGCAGAGGAAUAAAAAGCACUUUUUUUGUUGUUCUUUUUUUUUUUCUCUAUAAAAGCUUGGAGUUUGUCAAUCAGUCAAAGUCAAGAUGUUACCUUGCAGAAUUUGUGGCUGUCAGUUCUAGUGCUCUCCACUGGAGGACAGCCUGUCAUAACACUGUGCUCCCUGAGCUGGAAGCAGAGCUGGAAGGAAUCUGUUCUAAUAUUCCCCCCAGGGAGGAGAAGACAAGGUUACCGUUCCUGAAAGAAUGCUCUGAAAUAUGGGCCAGAAACAUUAUAGGCCUAUCUGGGGUUUUCCGUGAAGUCAAAACAAAUGCCUUAUCCAGCUUUAUUUCUUUUCCAUGAUACUGGGAGAUGGAAAAUAUCAGUAAAAAGAAAGAAAAAAAAAGAAUCACCGCACCAAGUCCAGGAGAGUAAAACAUCUGUGCAGGUUUUGGAUUUAUUCAGAGGCUGUUGAGUUGGCUGAUCAAUACAGUUCUGAGGUAGAAAAGUUCUUUUUUGCUGGGACUACAAGGAGGCCAGAGGUAAUUGAGAAAGAAUUGAACAGAGGUGUGGCUAAAUACAUUGCAUGAAAUCUGUUGUGCCCUUCCUCAGGGUCCAGGUUCAGCCCUGAUCUGUAGGAAACACAUUCACUCAGCUUUACGAAUUCAGGUAGAUUCCAAGGAUAUCACUGUUUACUGCCUUGCAGUGCUUGCUUUUGUCAUCAGUUGAACCAUGAUUCCCUGUACAGAAUUCAGUCAGUCACUGUCCCAGUCCUGCAGUACUGGACAGAAUCUUCUUUCCAGCCUGUUGAGAGAUGGUGUCUUCUAAUUCAUUUGUGAUUUUUGUUUAUUUGAGGGGGUUCUUUGUAAAGAAUAACUUUCAGCAUGCCUGGCUAUACCUUCAAGCAGUUAUAUUCAUCAAACAACUUGCCUUAGCCAUCUCUUUACUCAGCUUCUGCUUUUGUUUUCCUGCAGACUGAUAACUCAUGUUCCAAUUUAGAACGUGUCUUAGGGGUGUGUUCAGCAUUGCAUCCUCAAUAGAUUAAAGAUGGUAUAGUGGUUGGAUUUUAGAGAUCAGAAUACUUGAGUUCAAAUCUUAAUGCAGAUUUCCUCUCUGACCUUAAAUAGAUCACACAUAAUCUUAGGUUCCAUUUCCUUGCCUGCAAGAUGGAGGUGACUAGUGCUUUCCGCUUGACAAGCUAGAAAUGUAAAGAUUGUGAGGUAUUUCUGUAAUGAAACCCAUGAGUAUACAUGUACUCACACCUAUUCACAGCCUAAUGAACAGGGAAAUGCAGAUGGACUGUGCUUUCUCAGUCAGCUCUGCAAAUAUAGCUUUAAAAGCAACGUAAUAGAUUUGUCUUUCUAAACACCCUUCCAAGUACCUCAGAAUAUAUUCAUUCUCUUUUUACUCUGUGACAGCUAAAGAUAAAAUCUUAGUGCUCCUUGUGCAGACAAAGCAAGUUUUCGUAUAUUUUAUGAAAGAAGCAUUUGUCAAAUCUGGCCUAAAAUUUAAAUUAUUAAGCAAAUGCCUGACAGGUAAGGGGGAGAGGUCCAGCAAAUGAAUCUUGAGGAGCUAAAGUUCACAUUUUGUAAUAUAAGGUAAAUGCUUGAGUGGUUUCAUUUUAUCCUACUUCUAUAAACAGGGAUUUAUUGUUCUUUCCUUGCUUCUCCUUGUCAAUGACAAGUAAAGAGUUGAAAGAUUAAAAUGUAUCUUAAGAGCCUCAGUUCAGUAGAAAAUUACACUUCAAGGCAAUGGGAGACCACUAAAUUCUUUUCAAUCAUGUUUUUUUAUUCUACGAUUAUUCAGUAUCACACACACAGUAAUUGUAUGUUUGGGGUGAGGGAAAACAGUCCUAAAAUUAAAAUUAAUAAUUUAAAGUGGGAAAGAAAAAAAAAAAAAAAAAGGUCAAAUUUCAUAAUCCAUACUGUCUUGACAGUAUGUUCUUUAGGUUCUCAAAAAUUUCUGUGGUUACCAACACCAUUUUUUAUCAGUACAUCCCAGCUUCAUGAAAUGCAUUUGGCUGAGUAUGGAAUGACAUGGGCACUAGCUGUAAAAUACUGAUUUUUCUCACAUCUUAGAGUAACUAGGCUCUGUACUCUGACAUGCUGGAUGUUCCCUAGCCCUAUGUCAGGGAAGAAUUUUGGGGGUGCUGCAAAUAUUCUAUUUAUCAAAUUUAGAGAUUUCUAAGACUACAUUUUCUUCAUUUUACCAUUAUUAUGAAAGCUUAUACAGUUAAAGAGACUUGAAAAGCAUCAAUGGUCUCCAUUGUUCCACGGAUGCAUUAGCAUUCAGUACAGUUCAUCAUCCCCCAAAAUGUUCAAGUAAUGUGUUAGAUGUUUCUCAAAAGAAAGUACAUUAUUGUAUUUUAUUAUUUUCAUGUGCUGCUAGGAGUGCUUCUGAACUACUGAACUAAAUCACAAAAAAUUUCAUUGCUCCUCUCAAAAUAUGAUGGAAAUGACAUGGAAUUUCUUUUUCAGGUUGAUCCUUCCAGUGAAUUAUGAUCUUUUUUUAAUUGGCUUGGAUUUCAGCUGCUUUAUAAUAUACAGAGGAGAUUGUUAUUAGGAAUGUUUAAGGGAGGCGUUUGUAUUUUUGACAGUCAGUGGUGUUAAAAGCCUUUGUUAGUCAUAAGAGUAAUUCUAUCAGUUGACAUCAAAAGCCAAAAUCUUUUUGCCUUAUUUGCAUGAGCAGUCCAUUUUUGAAGCUAGCAUGAAUAUUGUUAUGAAAACGCAAGCAUAGUCUUUCCAGUCUUUUUUCUUUGCAGGUCAAGCAAGUGAAAAAAUAAUACCACAAUAGACACAAUGUAUACAAAAUGUCCUUCUUCAGUAAAGUUGCUAUGUAGAAAUGUUAAUCUUUCACACUAUUACUGCAGCAAUUAUCCUACAGUAUGACCAGUGAAAAAAGGCCACAGUGGAGGUCACCAAUUUGGAGUCAGAGGUAAUCAGCAUCUGUAGCUGUGCCAAAAACCAGUCCGAGACCAGGUGGCUGAGAGUGAUGCAAGUAGCACUGAUAGAUCUAAAAUCCCCGGGAACGUUACCUGUGCAAAUGAAAGUAAUAGACAUGUGCAGCUACCUAGUAGCACCUGUUGGAAUACAAACAACGUAUGUCAGACUACAAAUCAGAGGAGGCAGAUCUCACUUUAAGUCAGCAAAAUAUCACCAGUGUUCUAAAGGUCACUAUCUCCUCAUACGGUGAUGGUAUUGACUGAUUCCUCUGCAACAUUAGACUUGAAGAAUCUGGCUUAUUCUCAGCAUUUCCAACUCUCAGAUAUUUAGAACUGGAACAGCAAAGCAGCUGUCAGCCUGAAAAGCAAUCAGUUUCCUACAGCAUAUGCUUCAUGACAUGUAGAGAGUGGUACAGAAAAUAAACAUCAUGUAGAUCUUCCAAACUAAGAGAACAUGCAAUACAGAAAUACAUACUGGGCAAGUUGCAGCUGACUGAUUGCUCAUCAGUGCUCCAUAAGGGAACUUAUGACAUGCUCAGCAGGCCUUGGUCACAUAUUGGUAGCCAAGAUCCAGGUUUUCACUGAGAGAAGUAAUGGACAGAUGUUUCACUGAAAGAAGUUGAAGCAGAAGUGAAAGUGCUGCAUGUCAAAUAUCAUCCUUUCUUGUAUGAAAAAUAAUACCACUGGAUUUGACAGCUAUCCAGAGAUGCAUGAGCUUGAUGGAAAGAUGGAAAGCAUGUGCUCACUGGUGCCAAUGAUGGGUAGUUCUGGAGAUAAAGCUUUCUCAGAGUACAAACCUAAAUAAACAUUUGGACUGGAAUGAGAAAGCUGAAAGUUGAAGAAGAUGCAGCAGUGGCAAACCCACUACAGUUCUGAUGGAGAUGCUAAAGGCUCUGUGCCCUUCAAUCCCAUUAUUAGAAGCAAACUCCUCUCUCAGGAACCUGUGUAUUUUCUCAAAGUAUAGGUUUGCAGUAUUUCACAUGUGUGGAUUCAGAGAAAACAAUCCAUUUCUUUGGAGCACCUCUGAAUUUCUUGUCUGCAUUGGGAAUCAUUGGCAAGCUAAAUCUUUGAUAAAAAGUCUGAUACCUGAAGCCCCAGACUGGCACUAGCUAGAAAAGAGAUGCGAUACCAGGUUUCGGCAAAGCUUGCUUGGGUAUCUGAGGAGGUUCUUUUUGAGACAUGAUUUUAUCAAUUGUGGAUGUACCAGUAAGUUCCACUCUGAAUGUCUAAAACCAGGCAAAGUAGUGUUGAUUCUUCAAGAAGUAAAUAUGCAAAAGAAUAGCAGAUUGGAAUUUACAGACAGGUCCCAGAAUCAACUACAGCUUCAGUGGUAAGGUAGCAAAUGAAGAAGACAAUGUAUUUGUACUUGAAAAUUACAUCUUUACCUUGAUCACAGUACUGUGGUGAACCCAUAUUGCAGACUUGACUCUCCAAACGUCCCUUCGAACCACUACAAUCCUUAUUUGGCAAAUACGAACAAUGUGAAAGUAUGGAGAAAAAAUGCUGCAGAUUUAAGUCUUGACAUCACAUUUAAAGGAAGUGAUUUGCUUAUCUGCAGUACCUGUCAUAUUUUGACUUCAUCCUUUCUGAUGAUGAAAAGCAGCAAAGGAAACACAGUAGUCAGAAUGCCAGGUUUUCCAGGUUGGAGAAUUCACAGCAGUAACCGUCUCUACUCUUUGGAUUAUUUUUCUUCCUAAACAAAAGUGAUCUGAUAAUCUCUCUUUCCUCGAGCCGGGAUGAUUUGUGCUGCUGUGUAAUGAGAGAAAUCCUGCAUCUUUGGCUAUUCAAGGGCCUGAAAUACAGCCUACUGCAGCUGAUAAGGUAUAAUGGAUUUCAGUGAGCUUUAGCACCCCUGAACUGAACACAGCGGAGACCCAGUAUGACUGAAGUUUCCAAGUCCAGCUGUAAGAUAUGGGACCUAACCUGGUAUUUGUAAAUUACAUGUAGUAGAUUGAAGGCAGCAGGCAGCAGGAACCCUUCACAGGCAAGAAAACCCAGGUGUCAAGACCCAAUAAGCACAGUACUUCCAUCAGCUUUCCAGGAGCACGACUGGUUGGAGGUCAUACGUGUUUGUCUUGGAAAGCUGAAGUUUUGAAGACAAAUGUCUUCUUUUAAGAAGAAUAGAAACUCCAGAAUUUUGCCUAAUGUUCUUCUGCCCUAAUCCAGUUUAUUGAAGCACAGGUGGGAUUAAAAGCCUGAACUUGGUUACAUAUGUUCUUCUGCCUCUUACUUGACUCACAGGACAGUUCCCCAUUUCCUAGACCCAUUUCAUCCCAGGUCUGAUCUUACUCAUGAGUGGAUUACUGAAUCAUGUAAACCAUCUCUGCCCUUCGGUUGAGCUGAGCUUGCUGUGUACCAGAUUUCCCUUUCCUCUUGUUCUACCCCUGCCCCCACCAUGAAGGUUGCUCACUAUUUUUAACAUCAGGUAAUGGGAUUGCGGGGAUGAGAGGCAAGCACUAUUGAAAAUAUGGUUCUGUCCUAUGUACUGGGACAUAAAAAGGGAUAUCAGAAGAAGGUAUGAGAAAAAUGUCGAAGAUUUGCAUACAUUUAUAAGUCAGCAGUAUGAUGGUUAACUAGCACACACAAAAAAAGCUUCUUGCCAUAAUAAUGAUGUCUUGAAAUUGUGCAGUAAUCAGGCAUGAUAGUCUUGAGAUGCACUUCUUUCAAAACAUCAGGCAUAUGAUGAGUAUUUAACUCACUGAGAUACUUUCUUUCAUUAAAAAUGAUUACUCAAGCAUGGUUUUAAUCAUUUUUUUUUAGGAAGAAUAUAAACAGGAGUUAAAUUCCUUAUCCUUUAUGUGCCCCAGAGGCUCCUUUCUGUGUCAGUCUUCAAUAAGCUAAAAAGUUAAGAAUGAGUUUGAAAUUGUGUUUUUAACAGUGUAUAGGCUUUUUUCAAGUAUUCAUAUUUAUUAAAGGAAGUUUAGUACCUAACUUGAACACCAGAUCUAUCAAACAGUGCAAUAUUGUAUCUUUAUAUCCUCUUCUCUAGAGCAAACUAAGGCUUCCUACCAAAUAAAGCAGAAACAAAUUCUCUUAUCAAACUGUGGGGCUCAGAAAAUCAGUAUUUAGUUUAUAUUUCUUACUACUAUCUUAAAGAUUAUUAUUAAAACACAUCAUCUUCAUGCUACUGAAUGCUACAGAGUAUUUCUUUACCUUGAGGACAGACUCAAAUGAUUAAAAUCUUGUUUGUCCUUCUCCCUCCCUUUCUCUCACAACAUACCCAUGUUAUUGUACAGAUUUACCAAUUUUUCACUGAUUUUACCGUAUUUUACUGUUUUUAAUGGCUGCUUGCAUUAGCAGCUGUUACAGAGAGGAACUGCAAAAACCCUCUCAUCUAUUUGGCUUGGUUGAACUAAAUUGAAGAUUAGAACAUUAAGUUGCCCAAGUUGGGUUCACCCAAAAUAAAAACAUGUCUGGCCAGUGAGGAGGUAUGAAAAAGACAUCGCUUUGCACUACUUAUAUGCUCAGCUAUUGCAGAGCCCUUGGGAAGCAUCUGUAGCUUUUUUAGGGAUAUCCUGACUUAAAAUAGGAAAUAAAGAAAUAUAGAAAAUUUACUCAGUUGGAUUUUUUUGCCUCCUAAGUCUGUUGUUGUGCUGGGUUUAGUUCAAGCACAACAGAGAUGGAGGCCCAAAGCCAUCACAUCAGAGAGCAUUAUUUCUCAUCAGUCAGAAUACCAAGUCUAUAAAAUAUUCAUAAAACUCUUCAAAUUGAAUUGGCCUUUCAAGUAAUAAAAGAAUACAUCAAAGUAAUACACUAAAUGAGGACUUUCCUCUACAGCAUAUGAUAUAAACCAUAAGAAUUUCUAUUAAAUAUUUGAUUAUUGAAAAGUAAAUGAGACUUUUUCUCAUGUGACAAUGACGGGACUUCAUGCAGUAUGAAACUAACAAAAAAGAUACUGUUAUUGUUAAUGCCUCUGUUUCUUACCAUCUGAAUUAAUGAGCAUGUUUGAUCUUCCUUGAUUUCUUCAUGCUUCAUCGCUUCUAUCCCUGUCAGAAGCGUACUUUUCACUUUUCUUGUGAAAUAAUCUACAUAAUGCAAACUGACUGUUCAUGGAGCACAAUGAGUAUUCUACCAGUAAGGAAGAAAGGGCAUCAUUUGAUAAAAGCAGGCAUAUUGUUGAGACAGCUACAAAAUUAGUUAAUUUUAGCAGAGAACAGGUUUGGUGUUUUUUUUGCUGCCAGUCAAGAUUUAAACAAAGGAAUCAUCCCACAUUUGGCAGAUAAUUAUGCUUCUCCAAGGGCAAACAUAACACUGAAUGAAGAGUUAAGGUCUCAAUUUUCUCAGAUACUUUUGUUCUUCGAACAAAUGUAUCCGCUUGUUUCAUAAAUAGGCUAAAAAAUUUGAACAAUCUAUAGCAAUUAUUGUUCUAGGCAUAAAAGCAAUGCUCACAUCCUCAUUUUAUGAGUUCUUUUUAUGAUUAUUAUUUCAGUUUCCAGAGUCCUGCAUCACUUAAUUUUUUACCUUUGGUCCCCAGAGCAGCAGAUACCAAUGUCAGAGGAGACUCCUGCCGACAUCCAUGUUGCUUGUGUGUGAGUUUGAAUAGAUUACUUUAGAGCAUUGAUGUUGAGCAUUAAAAUGGUUCCAAUUCUCUUAAUUAGAAAAGUAUUGAAUGUCUACCUCAAGUUUACCUACGCAGUGUUUUUGCAGGUUUUACUAUUAGCCACAUUUCCAUAAAAACAAGAAAGUAUGAUUUUAAUGAGCUUUAUUUACAAAUUUAACACAGCCUGACCAUAUUUGAGUGAUUCUGUAGCAAAUAAAACCUAUGAUUUAUAGAAAAAAAAAAAAUUCUUGCUCACAAAUACUUAUCAUUGAUAUGGCUGUCUGGAAGCAAGAAGAUCCCACACAUACAUAUACAGAGCUCAAUUCUGCAUUUAUGCCCAACAAAAUCUCCAUUAACCUCAGAGACCUCAGACUUGCAUCAGUGUGAAUGUCUUGACAAGCAAAACAAUAAAAAGAGUUGAAUUUUCCCAUCUCUGAACAAUCUGUUUUUUCAGACUGGAAGCAAAUUUAAGGUACAGUAGCAUUCUGCCAUGCCUUGACCUGCUUAGUGUGUCCAGGCCCUCUCUAUAUGAGACCAGCAUAUACAAUUUUUCUGCUUUGUUACACAUCAAAGUGCUCUCCUACUGUAGAGGACAACUUUCAAUCCCAGAGCCCAGGUGCUUGCUGUCUGUGCCUUUAUGAGAAAGACACAGCCUUGACUUCCCUGACAUUUCUUUGUCUGAAAGUAGGAAAAUAAAGCAAUAAUUGUCUUGAGGAACUGUCUACAAGGUGGGGGAUGUUUUGUUUCCAGCAGGAUCAGAACAGAGAGAGAACCCGAUAACCUAUUGCUGUGCAAAAUAUUAUAUACAUUUUCCACAUGUGUAACAUAUCAAUCUGAGUUUUAUAUGUAUUUUCUGUGCACAUAAAUUGAGCUGAAAUCGGAUUAUUAAUAAUAAUAAAGCAUAUUUAAAUGCAGAGGUAAUAGGUAACAGCAUUUGGGGCAAGUGCUUGCUGGCUCAGAGGAAACUAGUGGGCACUGAAUAGUUCCAAGUUUGUCUCUGUAAGUUGAAUGAUGGUCAUGAGAUGCUUAAAGCACAAAGAUAUUAUGAGUAUAGGAGGCAUUUUCUGUUGAAUACUUACAGCCCACAGUGCUGGAAUUACAGAUACAGUAGCUGGAAGGACCAUCUUAUCAGAGACUGAUGUUUUACUGUAUUGCUAUCAGUGGAAUAAUUGUGAUGUGUUAUGUGCUCAGUAACUUACCCCAAGAUGUGCCUGUACCAUGCUUACCUGUUUCGUGACAGACAGACACUAAGUCCUACUGUCAUAAUUAAGGCUAUUCAAAAAAAUACAGCUGAAUCUGUAAAUAUGUGUCAUUUUAAAAGCCACUUUAUAUUCACAAUAUUUCUGAAAUAUUAACUGUUAAUAAGUUUGACUCACACAUCAACCUAUCAAUCAAUAUAUAUGAAGAAUACACUUAAGCGUAUUAGACAGGAUUUAGGUAACAUCAUUCUUUUCUGUUUAUAAAUAUAUAUAAAUGACUGUAACUGUUUAAACCAUUUUUUUUCUCCACAGCCUCUCCAUCUUACAUCUCUAUUUUACAUCUCCAUAAGCUGUAUUCUUCUUUCCUAGAAGAGUCUACAAGCUGUAUUCCCUUCCCUGCAAUGUUACUGAAGCACAGAUGGACUGCUUUAGCAAAGUAGCUCUAUGGACUCUUACACAUCUCUGUGUGUAACUUGCUAUAUUCACAGGUUUUUUUUCUUUUCCCUCACUUUUUAUACUUUACUUGGCAAAAGUAACAUGGACUUUACUGAAAGUUAUACAUAAGCCCUAGGUUAAUGCUAACUUAAUACAGAAAGCCAAAUUCCAGGCUGAGAUGGAAAUGGGAAUAUGUGUGCAGUUCGACUGCCUGCCUUAGAAUUGCAUUGGCAUGCAUGGCCAAAGCGCUAAGUGGAGAGAAGUAAGAUAAAUUAUGAUCUUGCCUUCUGAUACUAACCAAACUAAAAUGACAACAGGAAAACAAACCAAGCAAACUCAUUUUCAAUCAAGGAGACAGUGGGAAAGAACAGCGAGAUGCUGCCUCAUCCCUGGAGGAUGAUGAGGAUUUUGCUCAUAUCUAUUGUUUAUCCAUAACCAGGGUCAUGUUGAUCAAUUUCAGAGCACUAUGCAAUAUGUAAAAGAGAUUAUGUUUCACAUGAUACUUCAUAUAUUUCCAUACACUGCCUGCCUUAAUAUAAAAUGUGAUUUUUAUCUGAUUUUAAUACUACAGUGUUAGCUGCCAUUAUUUGCACAGUAGGUAAAUGAGGAGCUGCACAUGAAAUCCAGAUUUAAUUAGAUAGAACAUGCUAUCACUUACUGACUAGCAUAAGCAGGAUACAAUAAAUACAGGCAUUCUGUAAUACUUUUCUUCGCUGAGAUGAUACACAGCAACACAACAAAGUUUCAUUUAAUGUGGACCACCAAUACCCAGGUACUUGAGUUUUCCUAAAAAACAUAAUAUUUUGUAGAAAGUAGGUGUGGCAUUGACAACAUUUUAGGGUUUUUUUUGGCUCGGGUUAUACACCAGGUUCAUCCAGCUUUAUAUGUAUCUGUUGUUUCUUCUAACGCUGCCCUUUUAGACUUCCAUUAGUUUUAUUUUAGUAGCCAAAUGAAAACCCAGUCUGAUUCUCCUGUAACUUAUUGCUAUUGCUGUCUUUGGAUGUUUCCUUUUUCCUAAAUGUAGUAUUAUGCCAAAUACAAGAACACAAAGUGUAGAAGUCAAAAAGAGGAGGAGAUCAAGGAAAUGUCUGUCCCCAGAUAUUCUAGGGAAUGAAAUUGCUUUUUCCUUUUUUAGCUCCUGUGGACUAUGGUCUACGUGUCUUUGUGGUUCAUCAGUGUCCCUGAUACUUCUCUGAGACAUCUGGUUAUGCUUUUACUAAUUACUAAUGCCACUUGUGUUCCUUGCUGUUUGCCAGACCCCAAUGAACAGGCACUGUGUGGUAUACAUGAGUGUCCAACUCCAUGGCUUGCCUGAGCCACGCUGAAUAGAAGGGAAUUGUCUUGGGCCAGGUCUCUCUGAAAGUAAUGCUUUCUAUUUAUUUCCACAGAAACUACAGCAGAUACAGUGAACACAGUAAUGCAUGGGGCGGGGGACCAUGGCAGGACGGGCUGUGCCAAGCUGCGGGUUGGACCUGCCUGGUGUAGCCAUUCCUUUUCCAAGGUACAGCACCAGGGCUCCUGCCAGAUCUGUUUCACAAAUCCACUCAGCCUCAUUCCCCUGCUCGAAGUCAUGGUGCUACAGAGCUUUUUAGGAGGGUUUUUCAUUCCACUGCUUUCAAAACUCACUGAAGAUGGCCAAAUAACAGAUGUUUGGUGUUAACCUUUUCUGCUGUUUUAUAGCUUCUGAUCGCCAGCAGAACUGAAGUCAUUAACCAGCUGAGGCUUCUCCAUUGUUCUCUGACUGCCUUUCUUCUCCAAGGUACUUUUCUAGCCCUUUCAUUUCAAUCAAGCUGCACACCUUGUUGCUGUUAAUCUCUCAGCAGAUUCAAAACUAUACCCAGGGUGACAGUUGCAGAAUUCACUGGUACAGCCACAGCAUCUUCAGUGCAGGCUGAUGACAAUGGUGACAGCCAGGAGUUCGGCACAAGCUCUUUCAGCCACUUUGAACAAAUUAAUGGGGCAAAACAGAAAACACCAGGCUGUCACUGCAUUCACCAGGCUGGACUCUCAUCCAAGAUGUCAUUCCUCUUGAGCUGCUUGGUUCAACUUUAAAAGUGGGAACUGUUUAACUAAGGAAUGGUGCGAUCAGCUCCCUUGUUGCUUGAGUAUUCCCUGAGAUGGUGAAGCGUACUACAAGACUCUAAUCUUAAAAUGUAACACUUGGAUGAAAGUGGGUUCAUCUCAGAGACCUACAAAUGGCCAACGUCUGGAGCAUGGUGGGACGUUUGCAGUGCCUUUAAAGCUCACUUAUCAAAUUGCACAGACGUCCUCUGACAUAAGGGGCGCAUCACGAAGGACAGGCACCCACACAGCCUGCCCUGUGCUAUGCUGCCCUCCUGGGAGCUCUGCUGCCUGCAAAGGGAGGAAGGAGCCUGCGGCGUUUACAUGCCUCUAACCAAAUCUCCCUGCUCAGUUCUUUCAGCUGUCAUGUCCAGGUUUGCUGUUUCCAGCUCAGACAUGCUGGCAAAAGGGACGCUUAUGGAGGAGAGCUCAGUCAGCGCCAAGUCCAAAAUCUCUCAAGGCUGCCAGUUGUUUUGCUUGGAGGCUCAUCUCUACCCUGGCCUAGCAGAAUAAUGAAAGCAUGACAAAUCUGAUUAGUCUUUCUUCAGCCCUCAACAUAAAUUAAAUUCCAUGAAGUAAAUCCCAGGAAUAACUGACGUCUUUAAACAGAUGAUGCAAAGCAUACCAGUCUGCAAGAGCUGAUUUCUUUUGUUUCCAUUUGUGGAGCAGGCAAAUUAUACACUGUUCAUGUGAUUUCAUCAAAGAUCUUCAUUUGCGGUGGCUUCAAAAUUAAAUACUUCCGUUGUCCAGGAACUUUGGAGUUUACAAGAGAGUACUGUAUGUUCCAGAGACCAACAACAUAACCUGUGCAGCGGCUGUGCAGCAAGAUAGCAGUAGGAAAUGAUUUUAUAGGGGCCUAUCACAUCUGGGUUUAAAGCUAGUAGACUUCUACAUUUUUUUUGUUUAUUAGUACUGCAAUGUCUGUAUGUCCCACAAAACCUUUUUCUCUGGCAGGAUUUAUGGAUUAGAUGACUGCUUUUAAUUUAUUAUUUGUUUUUUAAUCUAUCUAUCUGUGAACAGGAAUACAUGUAAUUAUAUAUGUAUACCUACCAGCCUAUGGGUGUUGCUGAAGCUUCCUAUCACUUCUGUGAAUAGCAGUUAGGAUUAUACCAGCAAUAAAGAAAAUUGUAUCUUCAUAUGAGACUGAUACAAAAACUUAUUACAUACUCUCUCGCUUAAUUAUCAGAAACCAAAACCAAACCAGAACAGUAGUCCAUUAACUUAGCUACAUAGCUGUUUUUAAUUUUUGCUAAUACAUAUAAUUAGCUGGAUAUAAUUUUUACAAUUUGUAAACAUCUUCUUAAAUUCUGGAUAUGGAAUUCAUUGAAACUUUAAUGAGUGCAUUAUUGACCCAUUUAUUUUUGUCAAAAAUUGAGAAAACGUAUAAUAAAAAGUAUUACAUGGUUCUGAAAUCUAUUUACUAGCUCUCACCAUGAUAAGAAUAUCUGAAACAAUACAUCUAAGUGAACAUUUCUUAAAGUGGUUUAGAGAAUUGUAUCUGUGUAUUUCAGUGAUGGUGGGAUACACAGUUUCUUUAACAGCAACUUUAUGCAGGUCCAAUACAAAUAUCACAGAUACUGUAUCAGGAAAACUACAGUACCUAUGUGAGCCUCACUGACAUUUCCUUUUAAGGUCCUCUCUAUAAUGUCUAUCUAACUGAUUCCCUUGAAGGACAUACCUGUGCAUCACACUUGGAAGAAGAAAUUUCAGGGCACAAAAGGAAAACUGUGACCUAAGAACUCUGAGAAUCAAAUGGAAAAGAAUGAAAAGUCUGACCUUGUGAUUCCAUUCUGAUUCUUCAUCCAGCACUGCAGGAGGAAUUCCAUACAAAGAGAUGAAGUUCCUGCUGUUGCUGAACACUGUAGGAGGAACAACAAUAUUACUGAGAAGAAAAAGGAAUAAUGUUCCUCAGGUUAUGCCACAGGGAAUCAGCUGUGGUUCUCCUGCAGUAAAGGUGAGCAGGAAGAGAAACCAAGUCUACAGUGGCAUUGGCACUCUGAAAUGGACUGACCACCUGUGGCCAAGCUUGGACCAAAUAGAACCACAUCUUAUGUUGCUAACAAAACAAAAGUGAAAUAAAUAAAUAAAUAAAUAGAAGGUAUUUGCUAAGCUGUAGCAAGAGUCAGAGUGUGGAUGGUUCUGUGCACUGGAAAUAUUUGUUUCUUUGAUACUUUCAUACUCCACAGGAGCUAUCAAGUGUAAAGCAAAUGUGUUCUCUAGAGAUAGCUAAAAAAACAAACAAAACAAACACAGAAAGCAACGAUGUAUAUUUCUUUUUUGGUUUUUAACUCUGAAAACUAGUUUGACCUUCACUGCUCAUUCAUUUUGAAGUGCCAUAAACAGUGAAAUAAAAUUUGCAUUUACUAUAAACUCCUUGUUCAUAACUGCUUGUUUCUCCAAGACCUCUGGAUUGUAAGUGUGUGCAAA